CCUACGGGUGACAGCAGUCGAGAAUCUUUCACAAUGGGGGAAACCCUGAUGCUGCGACGCCGCGUGGGGGAAUGAAGGUCUUCGGAUUGUAAACCCCUGCCAUGUGGGAGCAAAUUAAAAAGAUAGUACCACAAGAGGAAGAGACGGCUAACUCUGUGCCAGCAGCCGCGGUAAUACAGAGGUCGCAAGCGUUGUUCGGAAUCACUGGGCGUAAAGCGUGCGUAGGCUGUUUCGUAAGUCGCGUGUGAAAGGCGCGGGCUCAACCCGCGGACGGCACAUGAUACUGCGAGAAUAGAGUAAUGGAGAGGGAGCCAGAAUUCUCGGUGUAGCAGUGAAAUGCGUAGAUAUCGAGAGGAACACUCGUGGCGAAGGCGGGUUCCUGGACAUUGACUGACGCUGAGGCGCGAAGGCGAGGGGAGCGAAAGGGAUUAGAUACCCUGGUAGUC
This 446-nucleotide ribosomal RNA is filed under the name uncultured bacterium. Its description in RNAcentral is "partial 16S ribosomal RNA". It matches the Rfam family "Bacterial small subunit ribosomal RNA", at positions 338 to 795 of the family's 1533-position model. The record is from RNAcentral.